Athene cunicularia (burrowing owl) is the source of this 1277-nucleotide long non-coding RNA. RefSeq lists it as uncharacterized. The record is from RefSeq and is a predicted model, not a curated record. Lineage: Eukaryota; Metazoa; Chordata; Aves; Strigiformes; Strigidae. The transcript is spliced from 2 exons.
UGUCCUCCCUCUGUUUUGUGGAGUGUUUAUGCAGGCUGGAGCCAACUAUCCAAAGCAGAGAGGAAAAAAAAAAAAAAAAAAGGCUCUGCAGGUACCAUCAGCCUGGGAGCAAAGCUCCCCCUUCUCAGCACCCAUACGAUUUCCAGAAAUCACUUUGAAUUACAUUUUAAACUUAGAUGCUCAGUUAAUUCCCCCGCAAUUCCCUGCUAAAGCACCUCAAUGUGUGGCCUGGCUUAUUCUUUUUAAAUUAGCUUUAAUUUUUUUUUUUUUUUUAAUUCUCGAGUUUUGACUCAGGGACUUGAAUGGGAGGCUGCUGGGUGAAGGUGCACGAGGGUGGACCAGAGCAUCUAAACCGAGGCCCCCAAACACGAGCGUUUUCCCCUCAACCUCCCCGCACCACUGGGAAUAAUAAUUCCUCGCAGGGCUGUUGCGCAGCUUGAUUCAUUAAGGCUUAUGAAGUGCUUUUUAGCUCCGGCACUGGAAGGCUCUGCACAAGUUAUUUUGGACUGCUCAGGUGUUAGGAGGAGAGGCACCGCAGAAGGAAUAGAAAUAAAUCGAGAAACUGCCCCUCUCUGCCAUCCAGCCCCUGCCCCCCCACUGUUCUCCAUCACUGUUGGUGUCAAACAGUUAAUUUACAAGCCCAGCACUUUACAAAGCCCCUGGAGCACCAAUUGUCCCUUUCUCAUGCAACAUCAGCUCCUCAAAAAAAAAGCCAGCUGAGUCUCCCAGUGUCACCCCGCUCCUGCCCUUCCCAAGGCAACUUCAGGCCCGGUCCAAAACCGCCUGGAUCUUUCUUUUCGGACAAGUCAGAUCCAACAUCCACCCCCUUGCAGCAUGAUGCUGAAAGCACACAACUAACCCCGGGGUGCUGGGUGCUGGGUGCUGGGGCUUUGAAAUGUGCCAUUCGCCUGGCCGGGGGGGCAAUCUCCCGUUGGUGACGGUGACCCAGAGACCCCACCCGAGCCACCACCCACGAGCAUCCCCACCAGAGCCCCAAAGGACCAGGGCCGGGCUCAGAGCCUGGCAGGACAAACCAGGAGAGCGAUAGUCUGUUGCACAGGAGCUGUCGGCCAUGCUGUUCCAGUUCAGGGGCUCCUGCAACAGAAAAGAUCAGCUGUUGGAGAACCCAUGGAAAGCCCUGGGGGAGAGCCAUGGCCGCAAGGUAAUCAGCAGGCAAAGUUAUUACCAUUAUGCUGCUAAUUAAUUCCCAGCUCAUUACGUUUCCUGUGGCUAAUUUGUACUCGCCGCUGAUUUGAUUAAACUCAUCUCUAUGCUAA